AUGAGCUAUAGCUUUUAUUUGUGGCCUCGUGUUAUCAAGGAGGUUCUCUAUUAUCUGGCAAAGAAUACUAUCACUAUUCUACUUAAAAGAGAAAACAAACGGAUAUACCUGUUGCUUGUUGGUGUUGCUUGUUGCUUGUUCUUCCCAAUUGUAUAUUUGUUGUGCCUUGUUGUGGGCGUAGUUGCCUGGGUGAUCUACACUUUUGGGGCUGUCAUCUGUGCCGGGAUCUCCUUGUGGCGCGUAAUACAGCAUGAUUAUGGCAACAUGGACGGGGACAACAGCAAAGCAAACCUGAUGCCAGCAUUGGACUUCUUCUAUUCUCUAAUUCUCUGCCAAGGUGCACUCUACAUUUUAUGGCAGACAUCUAACAUUGUGUUCCGAAAGAUGUGGGGUGAAACAUUAGUUAAAGAGUACCUGGUUGACAUCCAGUCAAAAUGCUGGCGGGACCCUAAAUCCAUCAAGGGUAGGAGAUUGGUCAAUUAUGCGGUCGACUUGCUGGACUCUGAAUCAUCACAAGACUACCUCUCUGGAGCAGAGAUGCUGGAUGUGCUCAUCAAGCGUGGAGUGGAUGUAAGGCCACUUAUACUCCCCUCCAGCCAAAAGGUUCAGAAGCUGAUCGAUACACUGAGGAAGAGUAGUAGCGACAGGGAGAUUAAGGAGCUCGCUGCCAGGAUAUUGGCGCAUCUUGCAUGUGACAGGGAUUUAACCCAGUUCCCUGGGGUAAUACCGUGCAUAUCCUCCCUACUCCUUGGUACCACCACCCAACUGCCAUAUUGGAACAACCAACAGGGAUCCAGCAAUCAGUCUCCUCAAAGUGAUGUGUUUUAUCAGCUAUUCGCAGAAAUAAAAGAAAGUAAAUUGGGUUUGCUAUUGUUAAAGAUAAUAGAAAAAGGAAAAUUGGAUCAGCAAGGUGCAAGGGGCAGCCAAGGAGAUCGCGAUACCACCCUGCCAUAUUGUAACAACCAACAUCAGUCACCUCAAAGUAGAUUGGAUCAGCAAGGUGCAGCGGACAGCGAAGGAGAAGGAGAUGGCUGGAAUGAGUUGAUUCUGCAAGGCCUAACGAUUCUGGAGAGGCUGGCGUCUGACCAACACAACUGCAGGGACAUAUGCAGCACCCCUGAUCUAAUGGCCAAGAUCAUGUCACCUAUCUACUCUGACACACUGAUCCAAGACAUCAACAUAAUGCCAUGGCAAGAUGUAGUAAAUGGAGCGCUCAGAGUUGUGUACCGGCUCAUCCGUGCUCCCGAGUGGACUGGUGGCAGAAGGCUGGCCCAUGAAAUAUCCUGUAGCAAACAAGCUGUGAGCAACUUGGAGAUGAUUCUGAAUCAGGGCAACAUAGCUUGCCAACAACUGCAGAUGCGAGCUAUGGAGAUACUCACAGAAUUGACUUUGGAUUCGCCUGCUAAACUCGCCCUGGGAACAAAAGAAAAUAUGAUCAACAAGCAGUUGCAGAUCUUCCUUGAUGAAGGGAAAGAAGAAGACCUUAGGGUUACGGCUGGGAAAAAUUCGGCUGAUAACCUCGCCAUAGAAACAAAAGAAAAGCUGAUCGGCAAGCAGCUGCAGAUCUUCCUUGAUGAAGGAAAAGAAGAAAAGUUUAGGGUUACGGCUGGGAAAACACUAGCAUCACUAUCCAAGACAGGAACAACUAUCUCUGCGUGCAUAAUGAGUGAAUACAAUCCCAUUGUUGAGCAAAUGACUGAAAUCCUUGAUGCUAAGAACAAGGUCAUAUACAGAACAAUAGCUGCUGAGAUCUUGGAGAAUUUGUGUACUCUACAUACGAUGGACAAGAAUCAUGUGAGGAACAACUUGCUGCAGAAGGUGUUGACAGAAGUUUUAAGCAGUAAAAAGAAAUCCCCAUCAGAAGCACCUGAAAGGCAGGUAUCUGAAGCGCCAUUAGAUGUGCAAGAAAAUCAACUGCAUGACGACGAAGAGAAUCAACGUCUGGAGCAUAAUGUCCAAAUCAAAUCAUCCGAUCAAAAUGAGACGUAUAAAGCUAGGAUGGAAUUGAAGGAAGCAUUGUUAUCCCUUACUUCGGUGAUAUUUGACAAGUUGAUAAUCAAUGCAGAGGAUUUUGAUGAUGUCGCUCGAAAGGUUGCCCCGGGAGAAGGUGAAUUUGUGGCGAAGCUCAAAACUAUAGUAGAAGAGAACUGCGAGGCCACGGCUAAUAGCCUACGAAUUGUCAAGCUUUGCGGUCAGAUUGCUGUCACAAUGAUGAAGCGCAGCCAGUACAUCGCACACUUCAAGGAUCAGAAAUUUGUGGAGUCACUGUCCGAGGUUUCAAGAAAGACGUGUAACCUUGAAAGUUGCAUGCUCUUCGCUGGGACAGAUGGUGGUGCGAAGAAGACUGCCAGGCCCCUCCUCUUUGAUCUUGUGAAAGAGGCAGAAGUGUUGGUUGCUUAA
This 2400-nucleotide ribosomal RNA is filed under the name Triticum aestivum (bread wheat). RNAcentral's name for it is "partial small subunit ribosomal RNA". The record is from RNAcentral. Lineage: Eukaryota; Viridiplantae; Streptophyta; Magnoliopsida; Poales; Poaceae.